RNAcentral lists this long non-coding RNA (3200 nucleotides) under Ricinus communis (castor bean). Its description in RNAcentral is "long non-coding RNA (RCOM_LNC003357)". Lineage: Eukaryota; Viridiplantae; Streptophyta; Magnoliopsida; Malpighiales; Euphorbiaceae. The record is from RNAcentral.
AGUGAGUGACUUCACUUUACAUCUCCCGAUAGGCCUUAAGGUGAAUAAAGAUCAAUAAAGGUAUCAUGACUUUCAAACUACUCACCAGGCUCUGUAUCUUUCACAAUGGCUGCUUUAGCGGGCUAAAAAAGGGCCAGUUUACUCCUGCCGGGAGAACACACACGCAGAGGUUGGAUUUCGAGCGAGACAAGUCACACACAGGUCUAUCAAUCCAAUCCGAAGCCACCAACACGGUAUCGGGGCCAACCACUCCCUCCCUGGAAGAAGGGAGUGUCAAACCACUCGAUCUUAGGAAGAGGGCAAGAUGACAGCUCUGCAAAAAGGGGCUUUCGCCCAUUUAUAAAUUUCGUGCUUGUAACUGCUAUAUCCUGGGUGUCAAAUCCGUCCACUGGCAGUAGUGAUCUAUAUCCUUCUAUCUAUCCCAUUUUCAUGGCGUAAAAGAAAAGAAUAUAGCCAGUUUCUCCUUCAUCAAAAUAGGCCGUUUACCUGUCCUCUCCUCUUCGUAACUUCGUCAAUGGAGGAUAGCUCUUUCCUAGUGAUAAUCUAUUCUUAACACUAACGGUUUCCUCCAAGUUGCCCCAUCCUGUGUCUUUAAGAAUAGCCUGCUUGAGGGGCCUGAAAAGCCACCCGCUAACUUGGUGGAUGCGGAAUCCAAUGCCGGUUAUUUCAGGGAGUUCUAUCGCAUUUUCUUCAACGGAAUAGAAGAGAAGAUGGAAUCAAGGUCAAUAUCAACCAAAGGGAGUUGAAUGUAUCCUUUAUUGACUCUUCUGACACCUGAAGGUACACACCAGAGAGAGAAAAGGUGCAUUUCAACUCCCCCACUCUCAACUCCCUCACUAUCAAUUGUCCACUUUCCAUUAUCCAGGUCCAUCUCCAUUAUCAGGGACAAAUGGGGUAUAUAGAAGUUAACAUAGCUUUUUAUGCUGAGGUGGAUUGAACCUCUCUGAAAGAUGAACCCAAAGAGAGCUCUAACGCACUACUAUAAUAUGUUAAUAAUCGAGCGCAUCCCUUAGGACGAGCAGCCCUUGAGUGGGAAACUCCAAGCUCUGUCAUCUUCGCAUUCGUCUAGAAAACAUCUUCUUGCUCAUCAAGAUUGAACCAAUGAUAAGCUUUGAAGAUCUACAACGGAGAGUGCUCCAUUUGGUUCAUGCAAUAUGAAAUUCCGUGGGAAUGAUUGUCAAUACUAGACAGGCUCUUUGAUCGAAUGGGUGAUAUAGCUUAGUAUAAACAAAUCAAAGCUAUUCGUCUAGUCUACUCCAAGCGUAGCCUAAGCAGUAGAGGAGAGGGAUCACCCGGUAACAGUAUGGCAAGGGGUGAAAGCCCGAUGAAAGGCUCAAAGUCUCCCUGCAGAUAAAAAGAUUGAAAGAUUGGUAGUGGAGUUUGAAUCUCAGUAGUGUUUAUCGAAGAAGUCCCGUUAAAGGACCCUCCUUUGAUCCCGAUUCGAGAUGAAGAAUCAUCCUCUAUCUAUAGACAUUAACAGAAUGCGUUCCCUGUAGACGUUAGAGAAGACUGUCGAACCCCCUGGGGAACUACUUGUUGAUCCGCCCCUCUCCCAUUGUCCAAGAUUCCCAGGUGUUGAAAGCACAUCCAGCAUUUGAAUAGGGUUGAAGAUAUCCCCUAUAGAGACUUAGGCAUAGAGACUGAAGCAUAGGGCCUUAAGCAACCUUUCGGAAAAGAAGAUGUAUCAAGGUAGACUGAAACUACAGAUAUUGAAUGAAAGGCUCCGGGUACAUUGUGAAUAGGCGCAGUUUUACUAUUCAUUCGGGGAAGACGCGUAUAGCACCGGUCAGAAGAUCAAAGAGGACUCACCCCCAGAAGGCGAAGUCGCAGGUUCAUAAAUAGGUGUAUUACAUAGAUCCCUUCUUUCACUUAAAAGAAAGAACAUUAGCCCGGGAAGACUGACUGAAUCGCUUUCUGCUUUUCAGGCUGCCUUUCCCCUCUUUUCAGUUGUUAGAGGUUCGUUCCCCCUUUUGUAUGAUCGAUCUGGGCAACAAGCAAUUUCUUUCGCUCCAUCAUUGUUAUGCUCACGUAGAUUUGUAAGCUAAGCUAAGUUUGCUUCAUUGAUAUCCUUGAAAAGGCUUGAUAUAAAAGGAAUUCGAUUUGGACACUAACUGAAUCGUUCCUGAAUGAAUGAACCUAUAGGGGAGUGCCGGACUCAAGAGAUCACGUCCCGCAGACAGAUGGAUCCGGAACUGAGCAUACGCCCUAACUGAGCAGACGGGUUUGAGGAGCAGACGGAUGGAGAUGGAUCCGGAACUGAGCAUACGCCUGCUGGAGAGUUCUUUACAAUCAUUUCCAUCUUUUUCCUUCGGCCUGAAUGAAUUACUUUUUGGGUCUGUUAUGCCGGUUCUGGACUGAGCAAGGAAGGUGGAGUACGUGUUGUCGGCCCAGGGAUGAUAGCAGUUGGUGGAGGAUGGACCCUCUGUUGGUGGAUGUAAUGGACCCUCUGGAAUCUCAUGCGUGCGGAAUAGCACUUUUUUCUGUACGCGAAGACUCGUAUCUUCUAUGCGAUUGAGAAAAUCAUAGCUUGGUUUAUGUGCUACCCCUUUUUGUAGUUUUCUGCUUGCUAUUCCUUCAAACGAGCAGCAAAGCACUUUCCAAACAAAUGCGGAUCCUACUGAUGCGAUAGUGCCAGUUCCCGCACUCCAGAAGCAAGCAGUUUAUACGAGAGAAGAGACAAGGUUAGCUUUGCUUUCCUUUCCGACAGAUAGAGAUCACGCAGAUUUACAGGAGACGGGAGACUUUCCAGUGUCCGGAUGACCUAUUGCGGAUUCGAUACUCAAAGAAGGCCUAGAAGCGAAUAGCCCACUUGAGCAAUUCGCCAUUCUCCCACCGAUUCCUCUUCAUAUCAGAAGGCCUAGAUGCGUUAUUAUCAUUACCAGAUUCCAUUCAAAGAAAGAAUCACUUAGACAAAGACCUUACCUUAAAAGUGAAGAUAAGCCACGAAGUGCCCGGUUGUGCCUUGCCUAUGCAUGCGUAAAGCAGAAUGCGAAAGAGAGGCAUGCGGUAACCCAAUGAUGAUGGAUCAGAUACCAGAAUCACCUCCUUUUUCCAUACAUAUCAAACGGGAAAUUCGCAGUGGACCCUUGUACUCCCUAACUCAGUGGCCGGUUCGAUCAUCUAGUAGGGUUCAUUAGUUUCCGGUACUGCUUGCUGAGAUCAGCAUAAAAGAUAGGGAUCGUAUGUAGGGAUGUCUCAAC